UACGUAGGCAGCGAGCGUUGUUCGGAGUUACUGGGCGUAAAGGGUGUGUAGGCGGUUCUUUAAGUUUGGUGUGAAAUCUCCCGGCUCAACCGGGAGGGUGCGCCGAAUACUGAGGGUCUCGAGUGCGGGAGAGGAAAGUGGAAUUCCUGGUGUAGCGGUGAAAUGCGUAGAUAUCAGGAGGAACACCGGUGGUGUAGACGGCUUUCUGGACCGUAACUGACGCUGAGACACGAAAGCGUGGGUAGCAAACAGG
This 253-nucleotide ribosomal RNA is filed under the name uncultured bacterium. RNAcentral describes it as "partial 16S ribosomal RNA". It matches the Rfam family "Bacterial small subunit ribosomal RNA", at positions 524 to 776 of the family's 1533-position model. The record is from RNAcentral.